Molecule: ribosomal RNA, 651 nt
Filed under: Anthracocystis penniseti
Lineage: Eukaryota; Fungi; Basidiomycota; Ustilaginomycetes; Ustilaginales; Ustilaginaceae
Description: LSU rRNA
Rfam family: Eukaryotic large subunit ribosomal RNA
Source: RNAcentral
AUAAGCGGAGGAAAAGAAACUAACAAGGAUUCCCCUAGUAACGGCGAGUGAAGAGGGAAGAGCCCAAGAUUGAAAGCUGGCGUCUUCGGCGUCCGCAUUGUAAUCUCAAGAAGUGUUUUCCGCUUCGGACCAUGCCUAAGUCCCUUGGAAAAGGGCAUCAUAGAGGGUGAUAAUCCCGUACAUGGCAUGGAGCGCCCGAGGCUUUGUGAUACACUUUCUAAGAGUCGAGUUGUUUGGGAAUGCAGCUCAAAAUGGGUGGUAAAUGCCAUCUAAGGCUAAAUAUUGGGGAGAGACCGAUAGCGAACAAGUACAGUGAUGGAAAGAUGAAAAGAACUUUGAAAAGAGAGUUAAACAGUACGUGAAAUUGCCAAAAGGGAAGGGUAGGAGGUCAGAGAUGCGUCUUGGGAUUCAGCCUUGCAUUUUGCUUGGUGUUUUUCCCAAGUUUGCAGGCCAACGUCGGUUUUGGGCACUGGAGAAGGGUGGAAGGAAUGUGGCACCUCUCGGGGUGUGUUAUAGCCUUCUACUGGAUACAGCGACCGAGACCGAGGACAGCAGCGUACUCGCAAGAGCGGGCCUUCGGGCACCUUUACGCUUAGGGCGUUGGCAUAAUGGCCCUCUACCACCCGUCUUGAAACACGGACCAAGGAGUCU